This 301-nucleotide long non-coding RNA is filed under the name Arachis ipaensis. RNAcentral's name for it is "long non-coding RNA (AIPA_LNC001945)". The record is from RNAcentral. Lineage: Eukaryota; Viridiplantae; Streptophyta; Magnoliopsida; Fabales; Fabaceae.
ACGGUGUCCAUGGUGGGGGAAUCGCUUCGAAACAUGAUUGAAAACGGUAUCACCUCACCAUCUUCUUCCUCUACUUCUACCCCACCACCAAGUGCCUACAAUUCUGAGGGCAACAACGACGAUGUCUCCUAAGACCACUACUACAACAUUUCAUUCUACAUAUACCUGUGGCUUAUACCAAUGUUUUUGCUGGUUGAGCAAACCACACUUUUAUUUUGUUUUCUCUUUUAUUUUAUAAAAUUAAUGGUCUUGUUAAGUUUUUAUAUAAACAGGUCCUGCUGGAACUCUGCUAGUUUAGUUU